UCGAGAAUCUUCGGCAAUGGACGCAAGUCUGACCGAGCGACGCCGCGUGCGGGAUGACGGCCCUUGGGUUGUAAACCGCUGUCAGGGGGGAGGAAAGCUUCGGCUUGACCGAGCCCCAGAGGAAGCACGGGCUAAGUACGUGCCAGCAGCCGCGGUAACACGUACUGUGCGAACGUUAUUCGGAAUCACUGGGCUUAAAGGGUGCGUAGGCGGGCAGGCAGGUCAGGUGUGAAAUCCCACGACUCAACCGUGGAACUGCAUUUGAAACCGUCUGUGUUGAGUGAGUUAGGGGUGUGUGGAACUUCCAGUGGAGCGGUGAAAUGUGUUGAUAUUGGAAGGAACGCCGGUGGCGAAAGCGACACACUGGAACUCAACUGACGCUGAGGCACGAAAGCUAGGGUAGCGAACAGGAUUAGAUACCCCCGUAGUCC
This 431-nucleotide ribosomal RNA is filed under the name uncultured prokaryote. RNAcentral describes it as "bacterial SSU rRNA". It matches the Rfam family "Bacterial small subunit ribosomal RNA", at positions 355 to 796 of the family's 1533-position model. The record is from RNAcentral.